This 77-nucleotide transfer RNA is filed under the name Candidatus Falkowbacteria bacterium HGW-Falkowbacteria-2. RNAcentral's name for it is "tRNA-Ile". It matches the Rfam family "tRNA". From Rfam's summary of the family: Transfer RNA (tRNA) molecules are approximately 80 nucleotides in length. Their secondary structure includes four short double-helical elements and three loops (D, anti-codon, and T loops). The record is from RNAcentral. Lineage: Bacteria; Candidatus Falkowiibacteriota. RNAcentral also lists the same sequence under 1 other name.
GGGCAAUUAGCUCAGUUGGUUAGAGCGCAACACUGAUAAUGUUGAGGUCGGAGGUUCGAAUCCUCCAUUGCCCACCU